CCGUACCGGAAGGUGUGGCUGGAUCACCUCCUUU
Molecule: ribosomal RNA, 34 nt
Filed under: Limnospira platensis NPS-011
Lineage: Bacteria; Bacillati; Cyanobacteriota; Cyanophyceae; Oscillatoriales; Sirenicapillariaceae
Description: Arthrospira platensis NPS-011 partial 16S ribosomal RNA
Source: RNAcentral